This 237-nucleotide ribosomal RNA is filed under the name uncultured bacterium. Its description in RNAcentral is "partial 16S ribosomal RNA". It matches the Rfam family "Bacterial small subunit ribosomal RNA", at positions 100 to 334 of the family's 1533-position model. The record is from RNAcentral.
CCGGCACGGGUGAGUAACACGUAUCCAACCUGCCGUCUACUCUUGGACAGCCUUCUGAAAGGAAGAUUAAUACAAGAUGGCAUCAUGAGUCCGCAUGUUCACAUGAUUAAAGGUAUUCCGGUAGACGAUGGGGAUGCGUUCCAUUAGAUAGUAGGCGGGGUAACGGCCCACCUAGUCUUCGAUGGAUAGGGGUUCCGAGAGGAAGGUCCCCCACAUUGGGACUGAGACACGGUCCAA